This 770-nucleotide long non-coding RNA is filed under the name Monodelphis domestica (gray short-tailed opossum). RNAcentral describes it as "lncRNA (ENSMODG00000030910.2)". Lineage: Eukaryota; Metazoa; Chordata; Mammalia; Didelphimorphia; Didelphidae. The record is from RNAcentral.
GCCUGGAAGACCUUUGAGCAGGGCAUUUACAAGAUCAGAUCUCUGCUUGGGAGAUUUGUCUGGCAGUAUAGCUGAGAAUGGAGUAGAGAGAAAGAGGCUGGAGUCAAUAAAUCUAGUUGGGAAGCUAUUGCAAUAAUCUCAAAGAAGAAAGGAUGGCCUGGAAUUGAAUGGUAGCUGGGAUAAUGGAAUCUGGGAACUGAAGGCAAAAUCUACUUGGCAACCUGUGGGGCUAUCUCAAACUGAGUUGUUUUUUUUGUCCUUCCCUCCAUCCACCAAAAGAAGUUCAACCAGAUUCUAAAUCUAAUCGUACCUCAAAAGAAAUUUGCAGGAAGCUGCUUUGGAAAUGGCCUCGAGUAUUAGACUAAAUCCCUCCAAGGCUUCAAUCUGGGAAUGGAGGAAUGGAAUUAAAUCUGUGGAACUGUCCAGCAUGAGCAAGGGUGGGAAGAUUGCUGUUGAAAGAAGAAUUUUUGCAGCUAGCAGUUGAGUCCCUCGAAUCCCUCCAGACAACGGCCAGUGUGAACACCCUGAUGGUCUUUCAGCCAUGAUUCCUGAUUGCAAGCGAUAAUCUGAGCCGUCCAGUGAGCACAUCUAAGGGUAAAUGAAGUCAGGAAGGAAACCAUAAAGGCAAACGUUCCUAGGAGGAAUGCGUGUCAGUACAGAGCGUCCACAGCAGCCCCGCGGGCAUUGAGCUAUUUCCUCUGCUGUGUGAUCCUGUCCACCGCUUUGUGAAAUUGUUUGUUUACACUGAGACAUCUGAGGAACAUCAGGAG